Molecule: ribosomal RNA, 516 nt
Filed under: Veillonella sp. oral clone BP2-12
Lineage: Bacteria; Bacillati; Bacillota; Negativicutes; Veillonellales; Veillonellaceae
Description: bacterial SSU rRNA
Rfam family: Bacterial small subunit ribosomal RNA
Source: RNAcentral
AGAGUUUGAUCCUGGCUCAGGACGAACGCUGGCGGCGUGCUUAACACAUGCAAGUCGAACGAAGAGCGAUGGAAGCUUGCUUCUAUCAAUCUUAGUGGCGAACGGGUGAGUAACGCGUAAUCAACCUGCCCUUCAGAGGGGGACAACAGUUGGAAACGACUGCUAAUACCGCAUACGAUCUAAUCUCGGCAUCGAGGAUAGAUGAAAGGUGGCCUCUACAUGUAAGCUAUCACUGAAGGAGGGGAUUGCGUCUGAUUAGCUAGUUGGAGGGGUAACGGCCCACCAAGGCGAUGAUCAGUAGCCGGUCUGAGAGGAUGAACGGCCACAUUGGGACUGAGACACGGCCCAGACUCCUACGGGAGGCAGCAGUGGGGAAUCUUCCGCAAUGGACGAAAGUCUGACGGAGCAACGCCGCGUGAGCGAUGACGGCCUUCGGGUUGUAAAGCUCUGUUAAUCGGGACGAAAGGCCUUCUUGCGAAUAGUGAGAAGGAUUGACGGUACCGGAAUAGAAAGCCC